RNAcentral lists this ribosomal RNA (2144 nucleotides) under freshwater metagenome. Its description in RNAcentral is "bacterial LSU rRNA". It matches the Rfam family "Bacterial large subunit ribosomal RNA", at positions 14 to 2260 of the family's 2925-position model. The record is from RNAcentral.
AGGGCUUACGGUGGAUACCUAGGCACAAGAAGGCGAAGAAGGACGUGGUUACCUACGAUAAGCUGCGAGGAGCUGGAAGCAAGCAAUGAUCCGCAGGUGUCCGAAUGGGGCAACCCUAAAUACUGCCCGUUGAAUAAAAUAGACGGGAAAGAGCGAACUCAGCGAAUUGAAACAUCUUAGUAGCUGAAGGAAGAGAAAAUAAACAAUGAUUUCCUCAGUAGCGGCGAGCGAACGGGAAAGAGCCCAAACCAAUCGGCAAGACUGAUUGGGGUUAUAGGACAGCGAUACUGUACAACAGAGAUUAGAAGAAGUGUUUGGAAUGACACGCCAUAGAGAGUGAAAGCCUCGUAAAUAAAAAUUAAAGUUGGCAAGCUGGAUCCUGAGUAGCACGGUACACGAGAAAUUCCGUGUGAAUUCGCCGGGACCACCCGGUAAGGCUAAAUACUCACUUGUGACCGAUAGUGAACCAGUACCGCGAGGGAAAGGUGAAAAGAACCCCGAAAGGGGAGUGAAAUAGAACAUGAAACCGUAAGCUUACAAGCAAUUGGAGCACGAUUAAACGUGUGACAGUGUGCCUGUUGAAGAAUGAGCCGGCGACUUAUAUGCAGUGGCAGGUUAAGGGGAAAAUCCCGAAGCCAAAGCGAAAGCGAGUCUGAAGAGGGCGAUAGUCACUGUAUAUAGACCCGAACCCGGGUGAUCUAACCAUGGGCAGGAUGAAGCUUGGGUAACACCAAGUGGAGGUCCGAACCGACUGAUGUUGAAAAAUCAGCGGAUGACCUGUGGUUAGGGGUGAAAUGCCAAUCGAACCCGGAGCUAGCUGGUUCUCCCCGAAAUAUGUUGAGGCAUAGCGGUAUUGAUUAUAGUCUGGGGGUAAAGCACUGAAUCGGUGCGGGCUGGGAGACCGGUACCAAAUCGAAUCAAACUCUGAAUACCAGAUGUACACAAUACCAGUCAGACUGUGGGGGAUAAGCUCCAUGGUCAAGAGGGAAACAGCCCAGAUCACCAGUUAAGGUCCCAAAGACAUCGCUAAGUGACAAAGGAGGUGGGGAUACAGAGACAACCAGGAGGUUUGCUUAGAAGCAGCCACCCUUGAAAGAGUGCGUAAUAGCUCACUGGUCAAGUGUCCCUGCGCCGAAAAUGAACGGGGCUAAGCGAUGCACCGAAGCUGUGGGAUUAAUAUAUUAAUCGGUAGGGGAGCGUUCUGUUGUAGGUAGAAGCAUUAGCGUAAGCAGAUGUGGACGAAGCAGAAGUGAGAAUGUCGGCUUGAGUAGCGCAAAUAUAUGUGAGAAUCAUAUACCCCAAAAACCCAAGGUUUUCUACGCAAGGCUCGUCCACGUAGAGUUAGUCGGGACCUAAGGCGAGGUCGAAAGGCGUAGUCGAUGGACACAGGGUCAACAUUCCCUGACUAUUAUGUUGGAGUAUAUACAUGACGCAUGAGAGAUAGCCAUACCCUGAUUGGAUUGGGAGGACUCUACGGAGUUCGUUUGGACAAUGGUAGUGCCAAGAAAAGCUGUAUAUAUGAUGAAGACAUAGUACCCGUACCCUAAACCGACACAGGUGGGUAGGUUGAGUAUACUAAGGGGCGCGAGAUAACUCUCUCUAAGGAACUCGGCAAAAUGGCCCCGUAACUUCGGGAGAAGGGGUGCCAUCUAACGAUGGCCGCAGUGAAAUGAUCCAAGCGACUGUUUACCAAAAACACAGGUCUCUGCAAAGUCGAAAGACGACGUAUAGGGGCUGACGCCUGCCCAGUGCCGGAAGGUUAAGGAAGUUGGUCAGCGAAAGUGAAGCUAACGACCGAAGCCCCGGUGAACGGCGGCCGUAACUAUAACGGUCCUAAGGUAGCGAAAUUCCUUGUCGGGUAAGUUCCGACCCGCACGAAAGGCGUAACGAUUUGGAUGCUGUCUCGGAGAGAGACUCGGCGAAAUAGGAUUGUCUGUGAAGAUACGGACUACUUGCACCCGGACAGAAAGACCCUAUGAAGCUUUACUAUAACUUGGAAUUGGGUUCGGGCUUCUCUUGCGCAGUAUAGGUGGGAGACUAUGAGAUACCCCUUGUGGGGGGUAAGGAGUCAUCGGUGAGAUACCACUCUGGAGAGGCUAGAAUUCUAACCUUGACCCGGCUAUCGUGACUGGGAAACAGAUCGG